CCUACGGGUGGCAGCAGUGAGGAAUAUUGGUCAAUGGACGAGAGUCUGAACCAGCCAAGUAGCGUGAAGGAUGACUGCCCUAUGGGUUGUAAACUUCUUUUAUAUGGGAAUAAAAUGUUCCACGUGUGGGAUUUUGUAUGUACCAUAUGAAUAAGGAUCGGCUAACUCCGUGCCAGCAGCCGCGGUAAUACGGAGGAUCCGAGCGUUAUCCGGAUUUAUUGGGUUUAAAGGGAGCGUAGGUGGAUUGUUAAGUCAGUUGUGAAAGUUUGCGGCUCAACCGUAAAAUUGCAGUUGAAACUGGACGCCUUGAGUUCACAACAGGCAGGCGGAAUUCGUGGUGUAGCGGUGAAAUGCAUAGAUAUCACGAGGAACCCCGAUUGCGAAGGCAGCCUGCCGGGGUGCGACUGACGCUGAGGCUCGAAGGUGCGGGUAUCAAACAGGAUUAGAUACCCUAGUAGUC
RNAcentral lists this ribosomal RNA (460 nucleotides) under uncultured bacterium. RNAcentral describes it as "partial 16S ribosomal RNA". It matches the Rfam family "Bacterial small subunit ribosomal RNA", at positions 338 to 795 of the family's 1533-position model. The record is from RNAcentral.